UGGAGGUAUCAGAAGUGCGAAUGCUGACAUAAGUAACGAUAAAGCGGGUGAAAAGCCCGCUCGCCGGAAGACCAAGGGUUCCUGUCCAACGUUAAUCGGGGCAGGGGGAGUCGACCCCUAAGGCGAGGCCGAAAGGCGUAGUCGAUGGGAAACAGGUUAAUAUUCCUGUACUUGGUGUUACUGCGAAGGGGGGACGGAGAAGGCUAUGUUGGCCGGGCGACGGUUGUCCCGGUUUAAGCGUGUAGGCUGGUUUUCCAGGCAAAUCCGGAAAAUCAAGGCUGAGGCGUGAUGACGAGGCACUACGGUGCUGAAGCAACAAAUGCCCUGCUUCCAGGAAAAGCCUCUAAGCAUCAGGUAACAUCAAAUCGUACCCCAAACCGACACAGGUGGUCAGGUAGAGAAUACCAAGGCGCUUGAGAGAACUCGGGUGAAGGAACUAGGCAAAAUGGUGCCGUAACUUCGGGAGAAGGCACGCUGAUAU
This 481-nucleotide ribosomal RNA is filed under the name Escherichia coli. RNAcentral describes it as "bacterial LSU rRNA". It matches the Rfam family "Bacterial large subunit ribosomal RNA", at positions 1274 to 1757 of the family's 2925-position model. Lineage: Bacteria; Pseudomonadati; Pseudomonadota; Gammaproteobacteria; Enterobacterales; Enterobacteriaceae. The record is from RNAcentral.